AGUUGGAAAAAAGUUAUUUGCAAGCUUUUGGGUACAAACACCCUGCAUCAGGCAUAGGGGGACUCUGCUGAUGUUGUGUUCUCCAAGGUAGAAAAGAAACUAAUUUACAACAGGCACAAACCUGUGUAUAGAACCUGCGUUCAGCACCCACUUUAAAAAGGAUCCAGAGGUGCUUUUGAAUAGAAGCUGUGUUUUCAUGCAUGCUAGCCAUCAAGAGUGUAUGGUCUUGUUUGUAGACGCAUUUGAAAACACAUGCAUUACUUGGAUUUCUAUCCUCUGAUUGUUGAAAGCAGUGCACCCACUAUACAGACGGAGUAAUAAGGAACAGAGAUGCUAGAUGAAUAUUCUCUGAAAAUCAAGUCACUCGCUUGGAUUUAUUGGCCUAACUUAUUUGCCAGAGUUUGAAAAUAUGUGCCUAAAUGAAUUGCUCAACAUCACAUGAGCCAAAGAUAGUUCUGAACUAGAACUUGCAAGUCCUGAUUGCUAGUCAUUAGCCAUGAGCACACACUCUUAAGCAAGACUUUUAAACAACACUUACCAGUUUCUUAUUAGUUUUGAUCUGGCCAGCACGGGUAGGAACAGCAGUGGUGUAGAAGUACAGACUUAAGCACAGACUGGCAACCUGAGUAUGUACCUAGGGUCUCCAGAGGACUUGUGCAGCCUGUGCAGUACUAACUUGGGGUCUAAUCAGAUUCUUUUUUGACUCUGGAACAUUUGAUUGUGUUAGGGAUCUUUUGCCCCCCAUGCAUCCAGGUCAGACAUUGCACAUGUCUCCAUAAGCAAAGGCUGCUUUGGUUGGUUUUGUGCUGUUUGUUGGUGUCCGUGUCACUGGGUAAGAGCUGAAGACGGCACUUAUUAGCCUGCUCUGGCUACUCCAAUUAACCAGCAGCUGAGCCACUGCUCCACAGCUCCCAAGACAAACCCAACCCCACCUUCACACAGAAGGGAGGUAACGGCACCGUGUAAAACCCUAGUCUGUUACCAAGGCAGCGGCUAUGGUAUCUCAGAGGCAGACAUGAAUUAUGGCCGAAACAUAUGCCCCAAGGCUUUCUCCAUAAAGCCCAGCCUGCAGUGAAUGGGAUCUGGGAGUGGGGCGUCGGCGGCAGCCGUAAAUCGCCCUUGGAGCUGGCACACAGAGAUGAGGCACGACUCUGUCCUCCCCGCCAAGGGGGGGAGGAGGGGGCAGUCGUGGAGAUGGUGUGUGCUUGAUGGGGGUGAUGGUGCUGCAUAUCUUCAGGCUGCCAGGAUGCACUCAUGUGGAGUCAGCAGGCAGUGCUGCAUACUGAGCAGAGGGGAGAGUUGACCUUGGACCUGUGCCUGCCUGCUGAAUGUUAUUCCCUGCCUCCCCUCCACUGUUCUCCAGCCUCCUUUUUUUUUCCUUCCCUUGCUCUGUAUUUUUCUUCUGCUCUUUCCUUUUCCUUGCAAGCUUUUAGUAGAAAAACACUAAUGCUUUGCCCAAUUCCAGCAGAACACUACAGAAAUCCUUCUCUCCGCCAAGCUACACCAGGAACUCAAUGGGAUUAAAUGGUGCUAUUGGAUAUUAGAUUACAGGCUUUUUGGAGCAAAGAGAUCUGUUCCAGUGUGCGUCUGUACAAUAUAUAUCACAAUGAGGCCCUGAUCUUGGAGUGGAGGGGGAAAUCUGGAAGGUCGUGUGGUAGCAUUACUUGGUGGCUCUCAGUAUAAGUAGCCCUCCUUGUACUUACUCUUCAAUUGUUCUGCAUUGCUGGAUGGAGAGACUUCUCAAUGAUAAGAGCCAAGAGCCAUCAAUUCUGUGUGGAACAUAAGCAACAUUGGGAUGGUAAUGUGUGGAUGGGCUUUGAAAUAAGCAACACUUGAGAGGUAAGAUUUAGGGAGCAGCUGGAUAGCAGGUAUCCUGUAGAGUACCCAGGAGCUCUCACAUUGGAUACAGACUGAAGGUGCUGAGGUGUCUUGGAUGCUGCCUGCCUGAGAGUCUCUGUUCUGAAGAGCUAAGAGUAGGCAAGACUACGAUUGGAGGCAAAGAAUGAAUCAUUAUCCCAUUUUACAGAGUCAGAACCAAGGUCCAGAGAGAAAGUAACUGAUUUUGGUCACGUAGGAAUUCUGGGAUAGACACAGCUAUCCUGGGUCCCCCAAUAGUGCACAAAGUAGAGUGCUGUCCAGCCUAAAAUACAGGAUUUUGCCUCCCCUAGAAGGUAAGCUAGAAGGCCCCAGCAGGUGGGCAGCACUGACAUUAGAACAAGACACAAAAGGAUCAACAAUGUGGGAGGCCUUGGUCCUACAGUGACUUCACUGCUUCUUCAUAUGAGCUUCAGGCUCUGUGUGCACCCAUCUAUUUCCCUGCACCAUCUGUAGAAACAGACUGUUCUGCUCUCUGAAAGCAAAGUCCUCUAGAACAGUGUUUCUCAGCCUGUGGGUCAUGACCCAAAAGUGGGUCACAAGAAUAUAUGAAAGGGUCGCAAACAAACCUUAAAAAUGGAUUCUCCUUUAAAGGUGAAAAAUGUGGGAAACUGGCUUUUCCUUUGCAGACUGUCAGAGUUCCAGCCUGCAAGGGGCUGCUUGGGCCUCCCUGCCCCAGCCCACACACCUACCCCCUGCCACACACAGUGGUGGGCUAGGGGUGAGGGACAGUGGAUUGGGACUGGCCAUUGAUGUUUAUGAAUGGGUCCUAAUACAAAAAAGGUUGAGAACCACUGGUCUAGAAAUCUAGGCUAAUUCAGUGUUAAAUCAGACCUAUGCAGUUCCCCUUGCACAGCAGAAGUACCAUACCUGGACUUCCAAUGCUUAGUACCUGGGUUAUUAGGCAGCACUCAGGCACUGCAUGACUGCAUCCUGCAUAUUUUUGCCAAUUUUCCCAUCACAUGGUCACCCCACCUGCCCUAUAAUAAACUAAACACAAGCCCAUCCAAAACAUCCAAACCCUUACAUGAGAUGUUUGUCUUGGGAGUGACCCCAAGCUGUCUAAGAGGUUUGCCCCAGUCUGCCCUUACAAUGCUGCAAUUCUGGAGGUUACUAUACUCAUACAGACAUAGAUCUCACUUCCUCCCUGCAGGGCCUGGAUUCAACAAACAACUUGCUUAUGCUUCUCUUCAAACAAGCUGGGCUUUUGUGCAUACUAAGGGACCUAAUUCCUAUUGACUUUGAAUGGGGUUUAGGCACCUAGCCCCUCUCCCUUAAGCUGCUUUGUAAACCUGUCACUUAUGUGCCUAAGUCCUACAAUGGGAAGUGAAAUGGGCUGUAAAGUCAAGCAGGUGCGUAAAUGCUUUGAUGAUUCGGGCUCUCAAUGAGCCAGCUUUACCUUCAGCCAGAUUGCAGGAGGGUAGGACCCCAGGUGAGAAGAUGAACUCUUGCCAAAUUGAUACAUUCAGUCUCUUACACGUUACCUCAAGUACCUGGGCAUGGGGACCACUUUAUAGGCAGAAAUACUGUGUUGUAGGUGUGACGGAUGUGGGAGAUGCCUGUAAUAUUUUAUGAAUAUUUUAUGUUCCAUCUGUCUCAUUGUUAUUGUGUCAUUCACAAUAGGGUUAUGCAGGGUUAAUUCCAGCAGGAGUUUCUUGUGCGUCUAGGGAGCAAGAUUUUUAGAUUGCACUAUUUACCAAUACUUAAAAAGGACAAUGCAGGAGUCAUUUCCUUUGAAGUUUACCUCUGACCACUCCGAGGCCAACUGUCUGGCUGGUAACCAGCUUGUAACCUCAGGGGGCCUGGCAACGGGAAAUUGGAACAAAGAAUAUUGGAGUGGCUAAGAACGCAGCCCCAAAGCCCAGGGGAGAGACAACAGGGACUGAGCGGAAACGGACUAAACCCCAGCCUCCGAGUGUGGCGGUAUAUGUGGUGAGGCAGUCCUGCCUAAAUUGUUAGGUAAGAUCAGUAAGGCAUAGGCCUUUCAUUGUGAAGAGAGCUCUGCUUUAUUGUUAUGCUUUGUUCAAAUUAGACAAUACUUUUUGUUUUGCUUUGAGUCAUCUCCUAGUCACAGCUCCUGAAUGAAAAGGCUUGAAGGCUGCUAAACCCAGUGGAGCCUGCUGAGCAAUCAUGGUUGAUACCUAGGAGGGUGAGGCCAAAACCCCGUGGGACCAAGAUGGGAUUCUACCCUGGGGUUAUAGGCAAACAGCCUAAUGUUUGAGGGGUGUACAAUCGAAGAUGCAGGCAGCCCUGGCUCUGUGACAGUGGGACACAAAACUGAAUCUACACAAUAAAUGUAAAUCAAUCUGGGGCCUAACUGAGCCUUGUGUGAAGUCAUACAAAAAAUAAGGUUUAAUAAAUGAAAAACUACCAAA
Alligator mississippiensis (American alligator) is the source of this 4250-nucleotide long non-coding RNA. RefSeq lists it as uncharacterized. The transcript has 3 exons. NCBI's taxonomy places the organism in Eukaryota, Metazoa, Chordata, Crocodylia, Alligatoridae. The record is from RefSeq and is a predicted model, not a curated record.